GCCUAACCAAAUACACAAUUAAACUACCAAUUGUCCGCCAAACAACUACGAGUCACACUUAAAACUUAAAAGACUUGACGGUACUUCAUCACGACCUAGAGGAGCCUGUCUGAUAACCGACAAUCCACGAUUAACCCAACCCUUUCUCGCCCAACAGUCUAUAUACCGCCGUCGCCAGCUUACCUUGUAAAAGAAAUAAAGUGAGCCAAACAGUACUGCACUAAAACGACAGGUCGAGGUGUAACCAAUGAAAGGGGUUAAGAUGGGCUACAUUCUCCAACCGAGAAUACGAAUAGCACUAUGAAGCUAGUGCCUGAAGGCGGAUUUAGCAGUAAGAUAGGAAUAAAACACCUAACUGAACACAACGCAAUGAAGUGCGUACACACCGCCCGUCACCCCUGCCACACAACAUUAAAUCUUAAUAAACCAAUAAAAAAGCCAAACAGGGCAAGUCGUAACAUGGUAAGUGUACUGGAAAGUGUACUUAGAAA
RNAcentral lists this ribosomal RNA (491 nucleotides) under Protobothrops jerdonii. Its description in RNAcentral is "partial 12S ribosomal RNA". It matches the Rfam family "Bacterial small subunit ribosomal RNA", at positions 875 to 1520 of the family's 1533-position model. The record is from RNAcentral. Lineage: Eukaryota; Metazoa; Chordata; Lepidosauria; Squamata; Viperidae.